UGCCAUGAAUUCAGAUAUUAUUGGUGUGAAGUUUGAAACAGGAUUUGUAUCGGUUUUGGGCGUCAUCGAAACCAAUUUUGUUAUCAGAUGUAAAGCAAGAAGACAAUCGCUUUGAAAUUUGAAUAUUGCGUUGAAAUUUCUGUGUGCUGUUAGACGGUUGAAAAAAUAGAGGAAAAUAUAGGAAUAGAACACAAAAUACCAGAAAAAUUGAAUUUAUGGAAAAAAUUCAAACAUCAUAAGAGGAUUUACAAAUCGCAAUUAACUGCUUAUAGAUUCAUUAUGACAGUAAUUAACGGAAUCCUGUAAUGCUGCAGGUCCUCCACACAAAGAUGUCACCGGGCGGAAAAGUUAAAUAAAUAACUUGUUUUUAUAAGCUACUAACUGACCCCGCAGCGUUGUCCUGUGUGAAAUUGUGCGUGUUUGAAAUGAAAAGAAAGCUUAAUUUACGUUGUGUUAAAAAUUAUUUAUUUUUGAUUUUUCUAAAUUUUUUUCAAUGUAACGCAUGCAAGCCUCUCCAAAAAUUUUAGAAAUUCCACUGAAUAAUUGCGCGUGCACUCAAGCAAUCGUAGUUAAGAUAAUUUGGAUAAAAUGUCUUCGGCAAAGUAAUUUUUGUUCGUAUACAAUAAUUGACACGGAUUUGAAGGCUGAUAUGUCGAAAUGAUCACCACGAGAAGUGUGCGAAAUUCAGUAGCAUGCGAAGUAGCUAUCGAAUCGUCCAUCGUUUGAUUCCAUUGAUUAUUAUGUUCCAGCAAUUGUAAAAUCGUCGUUUUUCGGCUGAAUUGUGUAAAUUCGUCCUAAGGCAUUAGUUGAAAACACACUUGGAUGUCCAUCUACUGGUUGGCCAUGGUUUCUGCGUAACUAUUUCUUCGACGAUGCAUUCCAUGUAUAUUAUCAAGGCAUUUCCGAAUACAUAGAGCAUUGUUCUCGCAAACGGAUCACUGACGCAAGUUGAGAAAAAACUCGUCAAGGUCAAUUUUGUUUCUGGCGGUGUUUCCACUGACUGUAGUGUAUUCCCUGGGUUGAAAUACACUCUCUGCGAGACGCACAACAGUCGGAAAUCGUUCAUAAAUUGCAAAGGCCAAUAACUGCCAUGUGGCUUUCUUUGGUGACGUAUUUGAUCGAUUUCACCAAACUGCAAUAUUUAACAUUGGCAUGAGUUUUGAAUGUGAAUUAGACAACAGAGGCGAAUAUGCUACGAUCCAUGUGCUGUCGACUUCGAAGUUCACUCCUCUAAGUUGAAUGCUAAAUGUUCUGCCAUUGCCGUCUGAUCACGUGGGAUUUCAGACAUGGUGUCAAAGAGAAAGAUGCUCAGUAUGCUUUGACAUUUCAUCAUGAAUAGACUUACUAACGAGCAACGCUUGCAAAUCAUUGAAUUUUAUUACCAAAAUCAGUGUUCGGUUCGAAAUGCUUUUUUAUCGACAAAUUUUGUUCAGCGAUGAGGCUCAUUUCUGGUUGAAUGGCUACGUAAAUAAGCAAAAUUGCCGCAUUUGGGGUGAAGAGCAACCAGAAGCCGUUCAAGAACUGCCCAUGCAUCCCGAAAAAUGCACUGUUUGGUGUGGUUUGUACGCUGGUGGAAUCAUUGGACCGUAUUUUUUCAAAGAUGCUGUUGGACGCAACGUUACGGUGAAUGGCGAUCGCUAUCGUUCGAUGCUAACAAACUUUUUGUUGCCAAAAAUGGAAGAACUGAACUUGGUUGACAUGUGGUUUCAACAAGAUGGCGCUACAUGCCACACAGCUCGCGAUUCUAUGGCCAUUUUGAGGGAAAACUUCGGACAACAAUUCAUCUCAAGAAAUGGACCCGUAAGUUGGCCACCAAGAUCAUGCGAUUUAACGCCUUUGGACUAUUUUUUGUGGGGCUACGUCAAGUCUAAAGUCUACAGAAAUAAGCCAGCAACUAUUCCAGCUUUGGAAGACAACAUUUCCGAAGAAAUUCGGGCUAUUCCGGCCGAAAUGCUCGAAAAAGUUGCCCAAAAUUGGACUUUCCGAAUGGACCACCUAAGACGCAGCCGCGGUCAACAUUUAAAUGAAAUUAUCUUCAAAAAGUAAAUGUCAUGAACCAAUCUAACGUUUCAAAUAAAGAACCGAUGAGAUUUUGCAAAUUUUAUGCGUUUUUUUUUAAAAAAAAGUUAUCAAGCUCUUAAA
Molecule: long non-coding RNA, 2142 nt
Organism: Bactrocera dorsalis (oriental fruit fly)
Lineage: Eukaryota; Metazoa; Arthropoda; Insecta; Diptera; Tephritidae
Exons: 4
Source: RefSeq, a predicted model, not a curated record